Molecule: transfer RNA, 77 nt
Filed under: Paracoccus sp. (in: a-proteobacteria)
Lineage: Bacteria; Pseudomonadati; Pseudomonadota; Alphaproteobacteria; Rhodobacterales; Paracoccaceae
Also listed under: 101 other names
Description: tRNA-Asp
Rfam family: tRNA
About the family: Transfer RNA (tRNA) molecules are approximately 80 nucleotides in length. Their secondary structure includes four short double-helical elements and three loops (D, anti-codon, and T loops). Further hydrogen bonds mediate the characteristic L-shaped molecular structure. tRNAs have two regions of fundamental functional importance: the anti-codon, which is responsible for specific mRNA codon recognition, and the 3' end, to which the tRNAs corresponding amino acid is attached (by aminoacyl-tRNA synthetases). tRNAs cope with the degeneracy of the genetic code in two manners: having more than one tRNA (with a specific anti-codon) for a particular amino acid; and 'wobble' base-pairing, i.e. permitting non-standard base-pairing at the 3rd anti-codon position.
Source: RNAcentral
GCGGUUGUAGCUCAGUCGGUUAGAGUACCGGCCUGUCACGCCGGGGGUCGCGGGUUCGAGCCCCGUCAACCGCGCCA